Long non-coding RNA from Sciurus carolinensis (gray squirrel), 471 nucleotides. RefSeq lists it as uncharacterized. The record is from RefSeq and is a predicted model, not a curated record. The transcript has 3 exons. Lineage: Eukaryota; Metazoa; Chordata; Mammalia; Rodentia; Sciuridae.
AAAUUAGUAACAUGUCCUGUUACACCUGGAUUAGUGCCUUGGGCCAGAAGAUCAAAUCAAGAUACCUGGCUUUCUAAAGUAGACUCUGGUGGUUAAUAGUAUGGUUAAUAGUAUGCACUUAGCUGACUGAAUCUGAGUUGCCCCGUAGGAAUGGCUGAAAUCAACUUUGCAGAGGGGAGGAACUGCCUUGCAGCAAUUCCUGCUGAAGCUGUAUGGACUCCCUCUGUAAAUGUAGCAUCUGUCUGCUAUCAUCAUACCACUCAAAAGGGGGCAAAAGGAUAUGAGAAACCAGAACAGGCACAAGAAACAGGAACAAACACUGUCCUGCUGGAUUAGGCAAAAGCAAAACACUGCCUGUGGAGGAGGACAAGUGGCUGAACCUGAGAGAAACUUCUAGGAUCUGAGAGUGAACUUCAUCUCAUCCUUAUGAAGACAGGAGACACAUCAGUGUCCCAGUCACAAGAACUGUAC